GCUUGCUUAAGCCACACAAACAGUAAAAUUGGAACAAUAUAGAGAAGAUUAGCACGUCCCUGCCCAAGGAUGACAUGCAAAUACAUGAAGUGUUCCAUAUUUUU
This is a small nuclear RNA of Tupaia belangeri (northern tree shrew), 104 nucleotides long. NCBI's taxonomy places the organism in Eukaryota, Metazoa, Chordata, Mammalia, Scandentia, Tupaiidae. The record is from Ensembl.